UACGGGGGGAGCAAGCGUUGUUCGGAUUUACUGGGCGUAAAGGGCGUCUAGGCGGAAUUGUAAGUCAGCUGUGAAAUCCCCCGGCUCAACCGGGGAGUUGCAAUUGAUACUGCAGUUCUUGAGUACAAGAGAGGAAAGCGGAAUUCCAGGUGUAGCGGUGAAAUGCGUAGAUAUCUGGAAGAACACCAGUGGCGAAGGCGGCUUUCUGGCUUGUUACUGACGCUGAAGCGCGAAAGUGUGGGGAGCAAACAGGAUUAGAUACCCUGGUAGUCCACACUGUAAACGAUGGAUGCUAGGUGUCGGGGGUAUCGACCCCCUCGGUGCCGCAGUUAACACAUUAAGCAUCCCGCCUGGGGAGUACGGUCGCAAGGCUGAA
RNAcentral lists this ribosomal RNA (376 nucleotides) under uncultured bacterium. RNAcentral's name for it is "bacterial SSU rRNA". It matches the Rfam family "Bacterial small subunit ribosomal RNA", at positions 524 to 898 of the family's 1533-position model. The record is from RNAcentral.